ACAAGAGUUUKGAAUCMYGGCUCAGRACGAMCGCUGGCGGCGUGCCUAAUACAUGCAAGUCGUACGCUUCUUUUUCCACCGGAGCUUGCUCCACCGGAAAAAGAAGAGUGGCGAACGGGUGAGUAACACGUGGGYAACCUGCCCAUCAGAAGGGGAUAACACUUGGAAACAGGUGCUAAUACCGUAUAACAAUCGAAACCGCAUGGUUUUGAUUUGAAAGGCGCUUUCGGGUGUCGCUGAUGGAUGGACCCGCGGUGCAUUAGCUAGUUGGUGAGGUAACGGCUCACCAAGGCCACGAUGCAUAGCCGACCUGAGAGGGUGAUCGGCCACAUUGGGACUGAGACACGGCCCAAACUCCUACGGGAGGCAGCAGUAGGGAAUCUUCGGCAAUGGACGAAAGUCUGACCGAGCAACGCCGCGUGAGUGAAGAAGGUUUUCGGAUCGUAAAACUCUGUUGUUAGAGAAGAACAAGGAUGAGAGUAACUGUUCAUCCCUUGACGGUAUCUAACCAGAAAGCCACGGCUAACUACGUGCCAGCAGCCGCGGUAAUACGUAGGUGGCAAGCGUUGUCCGGAUUUAUUGGGCGUAAAGCGAGCGCAGGCGGUUUCUUAAGUCUGAUGUGAAAGCCCCCGGCUCAACCGGGGAGGGUCAUUGGAAACUGGGAGACUUGAGUGCAGAAGAGGAGAGUGGAAUUCCAUGUGUAGCGGUGAAAUGCGUAGAUAUAUGGAGGAACACCAGUGGCGAAGGCGGCUCUCUGGUCUGUAACUGACGCUGAGGCUCGAAAGCGUGGGGAGCAAACAGGAUUAGAUACCCUGGUAGUCCACGCCGUAAACGAUGAGUGCUAAGUGUUGGAGGGUUUCCGCCCUUCAGUGCUGCAGCUAACGCAUUAAGCACUCCCGGCCYKA
RNAcentral lists this ribosomal RNA (905 nucleotides) under Enterococcus faecium. RNAcentral describes it as "bacterial SSU rRNA". The record is from RNAcentral. Lineage: Bacteria; Bacillati; Bacillota; Bacilli; Lactobacillales; Enterococcaceae.